UACGGAGGGUGCAAGCGUUACUCGGAAUCACUGGGCGUAAAGAGCGCGUAGGCGGGAUAGUCAGUCAGGUGUGAAAUCCUAUGGCUUAACCAUAGAACUGCAUUUGAAACUACUAUUCUAGAGUGUGGGAGAGGUAGGUGGAAUUCUUGGUGUAGGGGUAAAAUCCGUAGAGAUCAAGAGGAAUACUCAUUGCGAAGGCGACCUGCUGGAACAUUACUGACGCUGAUUGCGCGAAAGCGUGGGGAGCAAACAGG
This 254-nucleotide ribosomal RNA is filed under the name uncultured bacterium. Its description in RNAcentral is "partial 16S ribosomal RNA". It matches the Rfam family "Bacterial small subunit ribosomal RNA", at positions 524 to 776 of the family's 1533-position model. RNAcentral also lists the same sequence under 1 other name. The record is from RNAcentral.